This 426-nucleotide ribosomal RNA is filed under the name uncultured cyanobacterium. Its description in RNAcentral is "bacterial SSU rRNA". It matches the Rfam family "Bacterial small subunit ribosomal RNA", at positions 356 to 796 of the family's 1533-position model. The record is from RNAcentral. Lineage: Bacteria; Bacillati; Cyanobacteriota.
GGGGAAUUUUCCGCAAUGGGCGAAAGCCUGACGGAGCAAUACCGCGUGAGGGAGGAAGGCUCUUGNGGUUGUAAACCUCUUUUCUCAGGGAAUAAGAACUGAAGGUACCUGAGGAAUCAGCAUCGGCUAACUCCGUGCCAGCAGCCGCGGUAAUACGGAGGAUGCAAGCGUUAUCCGGAAUGAUUGGGCGUAAAGCGUCCGCAGGUGGUUUAUCAAGUCUGCUGUCAAAGAGUUUGGCUCAACCAAAUAAAGGCAGUGGAAACUGACAGACUGGAGUGCGGUAAGGGCAGAGGGAAUUCCUGGUGUAGCGGUGAAAUGCGUAGAGAUCAGGAAGAACACCGGUGGCGAAAGCGCUCUGCUGGGCCGUAACUGACACUGAGGGACGAAAGCUAGGGGAGCGAAUGGGAUUAGAUACCCCANUANUCA